AACGCUAGCUACAGGCUUAACACAUGCAAGUCGAGGGGCAGCAUAAAAGUAGCAAUACUUUGGUGGCGACCGGCGCACGGGUGAGUAACGCGUAUGCAACCUACCUAUCAGAGGGGGAUAACCCGGCGAAAGUCGGACUAAUACCGCAUAAAACAGGGGCACCGCAUGGUGAUAUUUGUUAAAGAUUAAUUGCUGAUAGAUGGGCAUGCGUUCCAUUAGGUAGUUGGUGGGGUAAUGGCUCACCAAGCCGACGAUGGAUAGGGGAACUGAGAGGUUGGUCCCCCACACUGGUACUGAGACACGGACCAGACUCCUACGGGAGGCAGCAGUGAGGAAUAUUGGUCAAUGGGCGAGAGCCUGAACCAGCCAAGUCGCGUGAAGGAAGAAGGAUCUAUGGUUCGUAAACUUCUUUUGCAGGGGAAUAAAGUGGAGGACGUGUCCUCUUUUGUAUGUACCCUGAGAAUAAGGAUCGGCUAACUCCGUGCCAGCAGCCGCGGUAAUACGGAGGAUCCGAGCGUUAUCCGGAUUUAUUGGGUUUAAAGGGUGCGUAGGUGGUUUAAUAAGUCAGCGGUGAAAGUUUGCAGCUUAACUGUAAAAAUGCCGUUGAAACUGUUAGACUUGAGUGUAAAUGAGGUAGGCGGAAUGCGUGGUGUAGCGGUGAAAUGCUUAGAUAUCACGAAGAACUCCGAUUG
Molecule: ribosomal RNA, 692 nt
Filed under: uncultured Bacteroidales bacterium
Lineage: Bacteria; Pseudomonadati; Bacteroidota; Bacteroidia; Bacteroidales
Description: bacterial SSU rRNA
Rfam family: Bacterial small subunit ribosomal RNA
Source: RNAcentral